AACUAAAACAAAGGCCUAGACCCUGACCACCUUUCUUUUCUUGGAAAACUUAUAGAGUUAAGCUUUUGAAGAAUUGCAGGUGGUAGGGGGUCUACGCUGAUUG
RNAcentral lists this microRNA precursor (103 nucleotides) under Oikopleura dioica. Its description in RNAcentral is "microRNA odi-mir-1497f precursor (odi-mir-1497f-1)". The record is from miRBase by way of RNAcentral. Lineage: Eukaryota; Metazoa; Chordata; Appendicularia; Copelata; Oikopleuridae.